AUGGGCAAGCUCCUGGGAGCAUCAUUGUUGAUUAUGUGGCUGCAGCCUGACUGGGUGAAGAGUCAACAGAAGAAUGGCGACCAGCAGAUUAGAUAAAACCCUCCAUCCCUGAGUGUGCAAGAAGGAGGGAUUUUCAUUCUGAACUGUGACUAUGAUACUAUGUUUGAGUCUUCCAAUGGUACAAAAAUACCCAGCAAAAAGUCCCAUAUUCCUCAUAUCAAUAUGUUCAGCUUUGGAGAAAAAUAAGGAUGGAAGAUUCACGGUCUUCCACAACAAAAGUGCCAAACACCUCUCUCUGCACAUCUCGUCCUCCCACUCUGGAGACUCAGCCUCGUACCUCUGCUCAGCCCAGCACAAUAAACUCAUCUUUGGAAAAGGGACUCAGCUGGUUGUGGAACCACGAAGUCAGCCUAAUUCCAAACCAUCCGUUUUUGUCAUGAAAAAUGGAACAAAUGUUGCUUGUCUGGUGAAGGAUUUCUACCCUAAAGAUAUACAAAUAAGUCUGGAAUCAUCCAAGAAAAUAACAGAAUAUGACCCUGCUAUCGUGGUCUCUCCCAGUGGGAAGUACAGUGCUGUCAAGCUUGGUCAGUAUGGAGAUCCCGAUGCAGUCACAUGUUCAGUUCAACACGACCAAAAAACCUUGCACUCUGCUGACUUCGAACCAAAGAAAAAUUCUUCAGAGACUCCAAAACCAAAGGAAUCUGAAAAUGUUAAGCAAACUUCGGAGAUCUGCUAUGAGCCCCAAGUUCAAGCCUGGAAGGUGAAUAUGAUGUCUGUCACAGUGCUGGGGUUCCGAAUGCUGUUUGCCAAGAGCGUUGCUGUCAAUUUUCUCUUGACUGCCAAGUUAUUUUUCUUUUAAGGCUGACUGGCAUGAGAAACCUACACUCCCUGAAAGAAACCAAAAGCCUACAGAGCUGUUUCCUCUUAGGCUUUCAACGUCUUGGUGAUUCAAGUUGAACCAUCCCAGCCUUGCUUAAAUGGCUGCUACCCAAACCUGUUUUCCUUUAAAGGCAGCAAACCCAGCUUAUCCUUCAGCCUGGUGGAAAGACAGAAGUUCUGGGCAAUGAGGGCCUAUGGUCCCAAAUGCUUUAUGUGCUGCUUUAUAAAGGGAUAUAGAGAUAUGAAGGUAUAUAGUAUUCAUUUUUUUCUUCCUAAGGCUGAUAUACUUUGAAAAUGGUGUUUUUGUUCCUUUGACUUCUUUGCCUCCAGAAAUAGAAGCUAUUGCAUUCCCAGCUCCAUUCUCCAAGAGGGAAAUAGAUCCUGGAGAAAGAAGGGCAGAUGUCCUUUCACCUAAACAUAAAAGGCUCUGCUAACCCAGCACAAGAUUUGCCCCAAACUAAUGUUUUCUUCCACAAAGGUAUCUUCUGCUUUUCCUAGUACUUCACAAACAGAACUACAUUUGAUUUCCCUAAUACUCUGUGCAGGCAUGAGCUUUCUAAAAUCUCAUUUAAAUACUCUCAGAGCUCUUAGCAGAGAUCAGGGUAAGAUGCAGAGGAAAUGUGCUUCUCUCUAUUAAUUGAUUUAACAAACAGGGAUUACUCCAGGUUUUAGGCACCGUGCUGAGGGUGCAAAAAUGAGUAAUACAUGGGAAUUGCUUUAAAGCAACUGACUGUGCAAGUAUUUUUGGAGGAAGGGACAGAAAUGAGACCCUGUGAUUUCCCCCAUAAAAAGUGUCUUUUCCACCCCUUGCCUGCCCAUCUGUGCACAGGGCAUUUGAGGGUUUUGGAUCUUUGGUGUUGAUAGUUUUCUGCCAUUCUUCUCUGUCUCUGUUACAUUGAUUAAAGUGCAUUGUGGGUGCCUUG
This is a non-coding RNA of Phacochoerus africanus (Common warthog), 1802 nucleotides long. The record is from the annotation of a RefSeq genome assembly. NCBI's taxonomy places the organism in Eukaryota, Metazoa, Chordata, Mammalia, Artiodactyla, Suidae.